AACCUCAUGGUGUGGGCAUUGAUGUUAUAGAUCCCUAAAACGCUCCCAAGUCUCGAAGAAUAGUUCCCCAUCGAAGUAUGAGAAAUUAGUGAUGGCUCUCCUGAGCGGGU
Molecule: small nucleolar RNA, 110 nt
Organism: Malania oleifera
Lineage: Eukaryota; Viridiplantae; Streptophyta; Magnoliopsida; Santalales; Ximeniaceae
Source: RefSeq, a predicted model, not a curated record